RNAcentral lists this ribosomal RNA (378 nucleotides) under uncultured cyanobacterium. RNAcentral's name for it is "bacterial SSU rRNA". It matches the Rfam family "Bacterial small subunit ribosomal RNA", at positions 376 to 770 of the family's 1533-position model. The record is from RNAcentral. Lineage: Bacteria; Bacillati; Cyanobacteriota.
CGAAAGCCUGACGGAGCAAUACCGCGUGAGGGAGGAAGGCUCUUGGGUCGUAAACCUCAAAACUUAGGGAAGAAGAAAGUGACGGUACCUAAUAUAAGCAUCGGCUAACUCCGUGCCAGCAGCCGCGGUAAUACGGAGGAGGCAAGCGUUAUCCGGAAUGAUUGGGCGUAAAGCGUCCGCAGGUGGCGAUGCAAGUCUGCUGUCAAAACCCAGGGCUCAACUCUGGUCAGGCAGUGGAAACUACAAAGCUAGAGUCUGGUAGGGGCAAAGGGAAUUCCCGGUGUAGCGGUGAAAUGCGUAGAGAUCGGGAAGAACAUCGGUGGCGAAAGCGCUUUGCUAGACCAGAACUGACACUCAGGGACGAAAGCUAGGGGAGCG